RNAcentral lists this transfer RNA (66 nucleotides) under Colwellia psychrerythraea. It matches the Rfam family "tRNA". From Rfam's summary of the family: Transfer RNA (tRNA) molecules are approximately 80 nucleotides in length. The record is from RNAcentral. Lineage: Bacteria; Pseudomonadati; Pseudomonadota; Gammaproteobacteria; Alteromonadales; Colwelliaceae. RNAcentral also lists the same sequence under 9 other names.
GCUAUAGCUCAGUUGGUAGAGCCCCGGAUUGUGAUUCCGGUUGUCGAGGGUUCAAGUCCCUUUAGC